RNAcentral lists this ribosomal RNA (537 nucleotides) under Trigonopterus sp. 817 AR-2022a. Its description in RNAcentral is "partial large subunit ribosomal RNA". It matches the Rfam family "Bacterial large subunit ribosomal RNA", at positions 1819 to 2625 of the family's 2925-position model. The record is from RNAcentral. Lineage: Eukaryota; Metazoa; Arthropoda; Insecta; Coleoptera; Curculionidae.
GGCCUGUUGAUUAUAAUUUUAGGUCUGGCCUGCCCAAUGAAGGAUUGAAUGGCCGCGGUAUAUUGACCGUGCAAAGGUAGCAUAAUCAUUAGUUUUUUAAUUGAAAGCUUGAAUGAAAGGUUUGAUGAAAAAAUUUCUGUCUCUGGAAAAAUUUAUUAGAAUUUUAUUUUUAAGUUAAAAAGCUUAAAUAAAUAUAGAAGACGAGAAGACCCUAUAGAGUUUUAUAUUUUUGUUUAUAGAUAAUUUAAGGUUAAAAAAUGUAUAUUUAUUUAUGGAAGUAUUUUAUUGGGGUGAUAAAAAAAUUGAUUAAACUUUUUUUAUAUAAAUACAUUUAUUUUUGAAUAAGUGAUCCUAAAGUUUAGAUUAUAAGAUAGAAUUACCUUAGGGAUAACAGCGUAAUUUUUUUUAGAGUUCUUAUCGAAAGAAAAGAUUGCGACCUCGAUGUUGGAUUAAAAUUAAUAUGUGGUGUAGAAGUUGCAUAAUUAGGUCUGUUCGACCUUUAAAAUUUUACAUGAUCUGAGUUUAGACCGGUGUGAG